Molecule: ribosomal RNA, 399 nt
Filed under: Scinax ruber (red snouted treefrog)
Lineage: Eukaryota; Metazoa; Chordata; Amphibia; Anura; Hylidae
Description: partial 16S ribosomal RNA
Rfam family: Bacterial large subunit ribosomal RNA
Source: RNAcentral
UAAGAGGUCCAGCCUGCCCAGUGACUAAUGUUCAACGGCCGCGGUAUCCUAACCGUGCGAAGGUAGCGUAAUCACUUGUUCUUUAAAUGAGGACUAGUAUGAACGGCACCACGAGGGUUAUACUGUCUCCUCUCUCUAAUCAGUGAAACUAAUCUCCCCGUGAAGAAGCGGGGAUAAAACUAUAAGACGAGAAGACCCUAUGGAGCUUUAAACUUAUCCUCAAACGCCAAAAUCACAUAUCAAGUUUCAAACUUCACCACAUGAACUCUCGCGCCAUGAGGACAAUUUUAGGUUGGGGUGACCAUGGAGUAUAAAAUAACCUCCAUGCUGAAUAGGCCUCCAAGCCUUGAGCCAAGGGCUACGACCCAUCGCACUAAAAUAUUAACAUCCAUUGAUCCA